Molecule: ribosomal RNA, 279 nt
Filed under: uncultured bacterium
Lineage: Bacteria
Description: partial 16S ribosomal RNA
Rfam family: Bacterial small subunit ribosomal RNA
Source: RNAcentral
UGCCAGCAGCCGCGGUAAUACAGAGGCCCCAAGCAUUAUCCGGAUUCACUGGGCGUAAAGGGUGCGUAGGCGGUGCUAUUAGUCGGGUGUUAAAUCCUGGGGCUCAACCUCAGAAUCGCAUUCGAAACGGUAACACUAGAAGAAGUGAGAGGUUAGCAGAACUCUCGGUGUAGGGGUGAAAUCCGUUGAUAUCGAGGGGAAUACCAAAUGCGAAGGCAGCUAACUGGCACUUUCUUGACGCUGAGGCACAAAAGCAUGGGUAGCGAACGGGAUUAGAUA